This is a non-coding RNA of Acanthosepion pharaonis, 113 nucleotides long. Lineage: Eukaryota; Metazoa; Mollusca; Cephalopoda; Sepiida; Sepiidae. The record is from the annotation of a GenBank genome assembly.
UACGGCCACAUCACGUUGAACCACCGGUUCCAGUAAGAUCACUGAAGUUAAGCAACGUCGUGCAUGGUUAAAUCUUAGAUGGGUGACCGUUCGGAAAUAGCAGGUGCCGUAUG